AAGCUGGCGGCAUGCCUAAUACAUGCAAGUCGAACGCGCCUANCAAUAGGCGAGUGGCGGACGGGUGAGUAACGCGUGGGAACCUGCCCUUGAGUGCGGGAUAACCGAGGGAAACUUCGGCUAAUACCGCAUGCGCCCCGAGCAAUCGGGGGAAAGAUUUAUCGCUCGAGGAGGGGCCCGCGUCGGAUUAGCUAGUUGGUGGGGUAACGGCCUACCAAGGCGAUGAUCCGUAGCUGGUCUGAGAGGAUGAUCAGCCACACUGGGACUGAGACACGGCCCAGACUCCUACGGGAGGCAGCAGUAGGGAAUAUUGGACAAUGGGGGCAACCCUGAUCCAGCAAUGCCGCGUGAGUGAUGAAGGCCUUAGGGUUGUAAAGCUCUUUCGCGCGCGACGAUGAUGACGGUAGCGCGAGAAGAAGCCCCGGCUAACUUCGUGCCAGCAGCCGCGGUAAUACGAAGGGGGCGAGCGUUGUUCGGAAUUACUGGGCGUAAAGGGCGCGCAGGCGGCCGAUCAAGUCAGGCGUGAAAGCCCCGGGCUUAACCUGGGAAUUGCGCUUGGGACUGGUUGGCUUGA
RNAcentral lists this ribosomal RNA (574 nucleotides) under uncultured bacterium. Its description in RNAcentral is "bacterial SSU rRNA". It matches the Rfam family "Bacterial small subunit ribosomal RNA", at positions 33 to 645 of the family's 1533-position model. The record is from RNAcentral.